ACUUUCGUUUUAUCCAUAGUUUAUUGCACAAUGAAUGUCUCAAGUAGUUCUGUGAAGACACCGAUAUGGAAAUCAUCAUUCAGAUAAAUUUGAUAUAUAUAUCUAUUAAUUUUCUACUUAGGACUAAUGGUGGAUCAUUGUAAACCGAAACCCCAGUUGUAUAUUCUUUAAGACCAUUGAAGCUUUGAACUCCACAACAGACCAAAGGUAGACAGGCAAUGCAGAUCGAGUGAUCAUUUUCUAAAAUAUGGGAUCUAUAAAGAUGGUUUCAAUGUUUGAUCAUGGCGGAGAGCGAGACCUCCACAAAUACCUCAGACCUCAGCGACAUCUCCAAAGAUAGCUCAGAUGACGCCAUGAGCGACACCUCCAAAGAUAGCUCAGAUGACGAGGAGCAGGGUCCUGUCAGGAAACGACGGAGGAUAGAUGCUGAUAAUGACAGUUCUACAGACCUGGAAGACAAUGAACUUGGAUACUCAGAUCAAACAGGGACCACCAAUCAGGAGAGGGAGAGCUCAGACCCGUUUCCUGAUUUAACAAAGGACCAGCGUGUCGUUCUCUACACCUUGUUAUUGUGUGUUGAUGAUCACCAUGAUGUUGUUGUGGGUGAUGACGUCACUAUGGGUGACAUUGAUGUCAGGAGGACACUGAAUGAGUUGGAGGAAAAAGGACUGGUGACACGUGACGGUGACAGUGAACGUUUCCACAUUCGGCGAGAUACAGAGAUAAUGAAAUCUUACAGAGAAAAUUGUCUGCUGAGUGACAUAGACAAAGACUUCUACAUCCAGGUUGCUUCAAACGGAUCCCUGAAAAUAUAUAGAGACGAGUACCUAUGGAGAGGAGUGCCUAUAACGUUGAUGAGGCUGGUUAUGGAGGGACGAGGACAGUGCGUAAAGCAUUUUAUAGGUGGUCACAAAAUGUUCCAUCAGACCUUUGUAGGUGAGGGUUUCCGGGAUUUUGUACAAGAAUGGUGUAGGGUGAAGAACCUAGACCCUAUAGCGUGGGCAGAUGGAAUUUCAUACGGGGAAGCUUUACGAUUUGUAUCAGCAUACACAAUCCAAGAAGAUCUUAUGACAGGAUUUGCAGAAUUGGUAUCCGACAACAAAAAAUGGAGCAUACUAGUUUCCAUUUUGAUGUCCAAGAACUAUAUCAUUAGUGUAAAUGCCUUAUGGGAGGAGAGACUGGGGGAAAUUCAAGGAACAUUUUCUUCGUUGAGGGAUUCCAACCAUGAUAUGAGCACAACCGAAGCCAAUGACUUGAUUAAAGAUCUAGUGCACGGCGACAAACUAUUGAUAAUGAAUGGAGAUGGUAGUAGCGGGACUGUGGGGUUUGCAUCGGAUGAUGUCCGCCAUCAGGUGAUGGGUUACUUUGUUCUAGAUUGUCUGAAUACUGACGAGGACUAUGAAAACUACAUCAAUCUGUCGUCUGUAGAUUCAUUGAUGGAGUAUGUCCGUAUAUCGGAGUACGAAUAUGAAGAUGAGCGAUGCCUGCACGUACCAUGGGGUAUGGAGGAGUUGUUUAUUAGGAGACUGGGCAUUGACGCCAUACAACUGAUCAUGGUGGAAUAUACACGUGACUUGGAUGCUGAUGAAACAAUCGAAAGAAUAAGAGUAACAGUGUCUAGAAUUUUGGGUGUCCCACCUUCUGUAUUCAACAUACACCAUGAUACAAAGAGGCAAUUGUGCAAUUUUGUAAAGACAGUAAUACAGGACAAAGAUGUCUCAAAUACAUUGAUUUAUAACAGUCUUAUUGGAUCGUUCAUGAUCGAUGAAGAUUCACAGGUAUCAAAAGAUCCACUAGACGUCAACAACAUUUCUAUGACGAAAUUGGGUAUCCUCGUGGCUCUCUUGAUGUCAGCUGGCUACAAACUGAACUUAAGCAAACAAUGGAAAAGUGACGUGAAAGAAACAAGAGAAGCAUUUCCAAUGUUACAAGACAAGGAUGCUAAGGAAGAUGAUCUUCUUGUUGACGAGUUAAUAGAGAAGGACAAAGUACUGGAAGUAGACGAGACAAACAACGUGGUAUUUGUAUCUGAUGAUGUCCGUCAUACUGUAAUGAGCUUCUUUGUCAGGAGUUGUCUCAAAACUGAAUGGGACUAUGUAAGAUACCUCAAUCUGUCGUCUGUGGACUCCUUAUUGGAGUAUGUCCGUACCUGGUGGUAUAAUGCAGAUGAAGAGCGUUGUUUGCACUUACCGGAGAGUAUGGAGGAGUUGUUUAUCAGGAGACUGGGGGUAGACGCAAUACGACACGUCAUGGUGGAUGAGAAAAAUGACAGUGAGGAUAAAGACAGGUCCACGGAAAUGAGAGAAACAGUUUCUGAAACAUUGGACGCGGAUAUCCCACAUAGCGUAUUUGAUGAAGAUCACGAUACAAGAGUACGUCUGUGCGGUUUUCUUAAGACAGCUGUGGCGGAACAAGAUAUAUCAAAUACAUGUAUUCUAAACAGUCUUAUUGGAUCGUUUAUGAUCGAACAUAAAUCACCCAUAGCGAAAGAUCCGCUACUUUUUAACGUUUCCCCGAAAAAAUGGAGCAUUCCCGUCGCUAUCGUGAUGUCCCCUGGAUACAAACUGAGCUUAAACAUACAAUGGAAGAGUCACUUGGAAGAAAUAAGAAAGGCAUUUCCAAUGUUGCAGGGCGAUUCUGUGGACGAUCAUUAUCGUAUUGGGACUUUGAUAAAGGACAAAGUACUGCAAUCGGACGUGAUAAACAACGUGAUGUUCGUAUCCGAUGACGUCCGCCAUCUUGUAAUGAGCUUUUUUGUUCGCAACUGUCUGAAAACUGACGAUGAUUAUAAAAACUACCUCAAUCUGUCGUCUGUGGACUCGCUGUUGGAGUAUGUCCGUACCUGGUGGUAUUAUCCAAAGAAAAAAGAGCGAUGUAUGUACUUACCGGAGAGGAUGCAGGAGUUGUUUAUCAGGAGACUGGGAAUAGACGUCAUAAAACACGUCAUGUUGCAGGAGAAAAUUGACAGUGACUGUGCUUAUAGAUAUCUUAAGAUCAGAAAAACAGUGUCCAAAAUGUUAAAAAUACCUCAGGGAAUCCUUGCCUGGGACUAUGCUCAGAGAUGCAGAUACGCAGAUUGUUUUAAGAAAGGAACUCGAACAAUACACAGAGCUCGCGCAAUGAUAGUUGGAUGCGCAGGGGCUGGGAAAUCUACUCUGCUUAAACGUCUACAGAAACGAAGUCUGGAUGAACUGCAAAAGGUUCAGUCUACAGUAGGAUUAGAAGUACACGAAUACAUCUUUGAGAUUACUCCUGAAUCUAAUUGUUUAAAAGAUCUACCAGCUAACACAGAUAAAGAGGGAAAGCAACUCUUGAGUGUUUUGGACUUUGGUGGACGAUGUGCCUAUUAUGUGUGUCAUCAGAUCUACCUCAACAGAAGAGCCUUCUAUCUUCUUGUCAUAGACAUGUCUAAAGCAUUUGAUGAGGAAGUUGACCCGUUACUAUGUAUGCAGGAAGGUACCAUGUUUACUGGCUGGACAUACGGGGAGUACCUUUUGUUUUGGUUGAAGUCAAUACACACCUACAGUGAAAAUAACGCCCCAGUCAUCAUAGUUGGAACUCAUCUAGACCAAGCUGUAGAACAGAACUCCAACACGCUCUACAACAGUAUACUGAAACAUCUUCAGUUCGACGAGCAUCUGAAGACACAUUUACACAGAGAACGAUGUUUCGUUCUUGGCUUUAAAUCGGAUGGUUCAUCUUUCCAAGACACACUUUCUGACCUAGAGAAGUGCAUUGUUGACAUUGCUAAACAAGAUCGAUGGAAGGAAACCAUUCCUAGGGACUGGGCACUCUCUGAACUUGUACUUAAAGAACUUAAAAGACAGGAAAGAAAAAUGAUCCCGCUUGAAAUAUUGUCAGAAAAAUAUUUUAGUAAAGACGACGAGAGAUCUACAGAAAUCCGCGAUAUCCUGAAAUUCUACCACGAGAUAGGCGUUAUACUACACUUUGACGAGAGUUCUCUUGCCGAUACUGUCAUCAUUGACAUCCAAUGGUUCGUUGAUUCCUUUAAGAACAUAAUAACCGAUCCAAACCAUGCCAUUGGUAUCGUCGAUAACAACCAGGGGUGGUGUGCCUUCAACGAAAACGGUCACAUACAAGACAGACUUUUGAGCAAUAUUUGGAGCAGCAGGCGCUUUACAAUUAACUCCCGUGACAAAUUACGCUUGUUGCAAUAUAUGGAAGGUCUUGGCCUUAUAUCUGUUGGUCAUGACGCUUACUAUAUCCCAUGUAUGAACAAACGGACCAUUGGUAUCAAACAAGAGAAUGAUUUGCAAUCCAUUCAAAGUCAAACAUCAGUAUUGGUCUUCAGAUUUCCCCUUUUGCCAUACUUCUUUUAUUUCCGUCUUAUUGUUGCUUGUUUGACAAAAUCAAAUGGAGAAUGGGAACUUCUGAAAGACAAUGAACUUUGUUUAUUUAGAAACUUGGCGUGUUUUGUCUAUAAACAGCAUACUGUGGCGCUGGCUGUGAAUAAACAUGCAAUUCAGCUUCAGGUUUUUCAACCCAGCAAUGGUCCAAUUGCGAAAGACGCCACACUCGAAAUCCGUGAAAAUAUUGAAAGAUUACUGAAUGGUGUAACUGGUAACUUUCACAAGGAGACCAGGUACACUGUAGGAUACCAGUGUUCAAAACAGGAGGUGUUUCGUGAACACAAUGACUGCUUUGUGGAAGAGAAAGACAUCCACGGGAAGGGAGAAAUUACAUGUCCAUUACAUAGACUGGCUAAUUAUCAUACCCUGAAUGAACACAAUCUUCUGUUUUAUUGGAAACAGGAUGCCCUGACCGGGAUUACAGAUGAGUAGCUGUCUACUUUCCUUUUAUCUAGUCUUUUACAGUCUUUUACAAGCGAGUAGCUGUCUACUUUCCUUUAUCUAGUCUUUUACAGGCAACACUAAGACUGAGUAAUGGCUCCCUGAAGAAGGACACGAUGGCACCGACAACAAGGUUAACGACACACGUGAUAUAAUAGCCAGCCUUGAAUUCGUCAAAGUGUUUGUGGAUAUAGCAUAUCAUCAUGAUGUCACUGCAUUUUAUUCAAUGAAAUGUGUCUCACAUUCCGUCAUAAAGUAACUGUAGGAAAACAUAUUUCAUUGACUAGGGCUGGGGGAGAGUACUCAUUUAACAAAUAAAGGGAUCUCAGAGAACUCUUGUCAUUAGGUUUGUGCAUGGUGACCUUCUCUUUAUCAUUAUGCUAUAUGAGUAUACAUAUAUUUAAUGUAAUUUAAAAAUGACAAUUUCCACCCAAAAUAUGUAUAUGUCUACCUCUUUAGCUGCGUUAGCCUAGCCAAUCACUAAUAUCACGCUAUACAGGGUCAGCAUUGUUGUAAAUAAUUUAUUUCAUGGAAUUUGUUAUCUGAUGUUUAAGACGUUAAUUAGUUAUUUAGGGUAUAUUUUGGUUAAUGUAAAACUUAUACGGUACCAAUUUUGAUGCACCAGAUGCGCAUUUCGACAAAUAAUGUCUCUUCAGUGAUGCUCAACCGAAAUGUUUGGAAUCCGAAAUAACAAUGAAGUUUUAGAGCUAUUAUAGCGAAAAACAGCGUGCCAAAAAAAGUGAAGUCAAAUUCGUCUAAGGAUAAGAGCUAUGCAUGAGGGAGACAAUCCUGAAUUUUGAAAUGAAUUUCUAAAUUUUAUAAAAGCAAUUAAAUAUACAUCCGUAUUUUCAAGCUAGUAACGAGGUACUUAGCUACUGGGCUGUAGAGACUCUCGGGGACUAACAGUCCACCAGCAGAGGCCUCGACCCAGGGGUCAUAAUAAUAAUAUAUAAUUCCCUUUGUCUAGUACAUGUAGCAUGUGCACCAGUAUUACGUCACUGCAUUUGUAGGGAAGAAACUAUCAAAACUAGGCCUACUAUGAAUUUAGCCACUCCCCAUCCCCAUCGUUCUCCAUACACUUUUGAAGUUAACUGUUGGCAUUUCAUGGUAUCUUAGAAUUCUUUUUUUCCCCAUUUUUAGUUUUGUGCCAAUUGAUGUCAAUACAUGUACUAUUGUGUAAGAAAAAAACGUAAUGUUCAAUAUUAUGCAGAUUUUUUUAUUGCUACAUUUUAUUUUUGUUUGGUUUAAAAGGAAAAUGUUUAUAUUAUUUUAUCAAACAGCUAUGUAAACAUAUUUCAUUGACUGCGUCAAGGGGGACUAUUCAUUUAUCAAAUUGAGGGAUCUCGGAAAAAUCUUAUCAUUAGGUUAGUGCAUGGUGGCCUACCCUUUAUCAUUAUGUUAUAAUGAAUAUACAUAUAUUUAUUCUAAUUUAGAAAUGACAAUUUUCACCCAAACUUUGUAUUUGGUUUCUUCUAUAACUGCGGUAGCCUAACCAGAUCACUAGUACAACAUUCUCAUUGUGUCAUAAAGUUAUUUUGUUUCAUCCAAAUAGACGUCUCUCUCAUUCUGUCGUAAAGUUUACUUACAUGUAUAUCUUUUUAGUUACUAUGAAAUAUAGAUCAGAACUAAAGUCAAUGUCAUCUAACAUCUAUGUAUAAUAUAAUGCAGUUUUGCUUAUUUAACCAUAAUAAAGAAUAAAAAAAAAAUA
Molecule: RNA transcript, 6519 nt
Organism: Ostrea edulis (European flat oyster)
Lineage: Eukaryota; Metazoa; Mollusca; Bivalvia; Ostreida; Ostreidae
Exons: 17
Source: RefSeq, a predicted model, not a curated record